GAAAAAGGAAGUUGUCCCUUCAUGUAACAAAUGUGAUAUUAUUAUUUCAUGGAUUGGCUAUGACAUGCAACAAAUCAUGAAAGAUCUCACAUUGGAGGUUCAAAUAGAAAAGUUCGGAAAUGGGAGGUGUAAUCGUAUGUAAAGAAUAUGCUAUUAUUGUUUCAUGGAUUGACUGGAACACGCAACAACUCAUGGAAGAUCUUGCAUUAGAGGUUCACAGAGAAAUGUCUUACAGGUUCAACAGAUAAAAUAAUAGCUGUAACAUCAGCAGUUGCACUAGCUAGAGUUUCAUUAUUGGCAAGCAUCGUUUAUGUGGGAAUUUAUAGAAAGGAAUAAAAGGUUGCCGCCCAUCUCCCGACGUCUUCUGAUCUAUCUCAUCCACCUGGUCCUGGUAAUUGGAGGCAUAGCUGUUAUCUCGCUAUCUGCAAACAGAUUCAACAAGACAUAAUGUUCUUGAAAAUUGUACUAUUGGCACCCCCAACGCAGCCCACAUCAUCUUGGUACAGAGACGGUUUUCCCUUUUCCUAAACAGGCUACACUUAUCAUCUGAGAACCUUCGAAGCUCUCUGAGAAAGCUGCAAGUCACCAAGUUCGACCAACUCAACCCCAAGACAAGUUAAACAAAGGAAAAAGUAUACAAUCCUUCGCCCAUUUCUCAAAAACUGCCAGCCACAAUGUCAGACUCAAUUCCUGCACAAUUUAGAUAAAGGAAAGCAAGUAUGCAGCCUAUUCACUAUCUUUGAAACAGAUAAUUAAUGGCUUCAUGCGGUCGCAUGUUUGACGGAAUUUCCUGUGAAGGUAAGACUUGUGUGUUAUGAAGAGAGAUUAGUUACAAGAGUUGAUUGUUUUGGCAGAUGAUUAAAGGUGCUAAUGAAGUUGAACGGUGGGCUUAGGUGAAUAGACAUUUUCCCUUAUAAUAUCUUUUUUUCAUAUGGUAUUUUCCCCAAAAAAUAUUGAGUAAGAAUUUCAGUUGCCGAAUUC
Solanum stenotomum is the source of this 981-nucleotide long non-coding RNA. RefSeq lists it as uncharacterized. NCBI's taxonomy places the organism in Eukaryota, Viridiplantae, Streptophyta, Magnoliopsida, Solanales, Solanaceae. The transcript is spliced from 7 exons. The record is from RefSeq and is a predicted model, not a curated record.